GGCUUUGUAGUGUAGUGGUUAUCACUUGAGAUUCUGAUUUCGAUAUGAUUUGCGAUGUUCUCAAAACCCAGGUUCGAACCCUGGCAAGGCCU
Molecule: non-coding RNA, 92 nt
Organism: Paxillus ammoniavirescens
Lineage: Eukaryota; Fungi; Basidiomycota; Agaricomycetes; Boletales; Paxillaceae
Source: the annotation of a GenBank genome assembly